Molecule: unclassified non-coding RNA, 346 nt
Filed under: uncultured Sordariomycetes
Lineage: Eukaryota; Fungi; Ascomycota; Sordariomycetes
Description: sequence contains ITS1
Rfam family: 5.8S ribosomal RNA (bases 1-105)
Source: RNAcentral
GAAAUGCGAUAAGUAAUGUGAAUUGCAGAAUUCAGUGAAUCAUCGAAUCUUUGAACGCACAUUGCGCCCGCCAGUAUUCUGGCGGGCAUGCCUGUUCGAGCGUCAUUUCGACCCUCAGGCCUUGCUUGCCUGGUGUUGGGGCCUUCUGCAGCGGCUGCUGCAGGCCCUGAAGCGCAGUGGCGGGCUCGCGACGGUCCCGAGCGCAGUAGAAUUUAUUCUCGCUUAGGGCGCCGCAGCGGGCAUCCAGCCGGUAAACCGGGCGCGCGGGCUCCCCUUCGCGGGGCGGCUCCGUCCCCCUUACAGCAUGGUUGACCUCGGAUCAGGUAGGAUUACCCGCUGAACUUAA